GUGCGCAAGGGCAGUGACAAGAAGUAACCCAGCAGAAAGAAACCAGGGGGAAGGAACAGUGACAACCAAGGGGGAAGGGACAGUGACUCAUCUCCUCCACCUCCUCUGGGACUUACUGUUUCUCAACACUUUGAAAAGCAGAAAGUCUGCAGACCGUUAAAACCACAGCGAUGCCCAGUCCCAACCAAAGAAGGGAAAGACGGACAGUAAGUGGGGUAACAGCAUCUGCCCUCUGAAUGACGGGAACAGAAGGAAAGAGCGAGACACGCUUCCGCGGCCACGGGACCAAUACCACUAUCCAACUUCGAGUACUUUGCAUAGCAACGCACGAUGGACUCACACACCACUGUUCAGACCUCUUACGCCUCAGCUCACACAGGGUGAGUCUCUGUGUGUACGCAGAUGUCCCUCCCUCCUGAACUGCUCCUCCACCGACCUCGCAUGUUGGUUCAUGAACUCUUCCACCUCGAAGCUCUGCGCCCACAGCCUGUCACCGCCUGUUCCCUUGUGUGCUGGAGCUGGUGGGACUCAGAGAGCCUGCUCCGCCAGCGACUCCUCAUCCUGUUCUGGUCACCAGGGGCUGAAGGAGGCCCUGGGAUCUCACCUCCACGAGCGGAGUCUGACUGGGCUGCCCUGGGCGCUGACUGGGCUCCACCUUCACCAAACCAGGUAGGACACAGAGCGCUUCCCCACCCGACAACGCAUCAGCUGAGACAGAGCUCCCCGAUCAUCCGAAAGUGGCCUGGAGCCGCCUGCAUAGGCUUCGUAAGGAUGCAACAACCAUAUUCAUCCUUAGUGCUUCAGCCCAAAGACGCACAAGAAAUUAUGUCUCAUCUUAGCAAUGAAAAUCCAAUUAUCCUUAGUUCCCAACAGAGCCAGCUCUACCUGGAGUCUCAGGGGAGAGGGGACGGAAGCCAUCAGGGCCAGUUUGGCUUCUGGAGAACACGACAGUGGACGAGGAGACCAUGCAACGCAGACCACCACGACGGACGUGCCGGGAUGCAAGCUGAGCGGGUCGGGGUCCACCCCAGCCGCAGCCUGGGUCGGGGAAACCUCCUGGUGUGCAUAGCACAACUGGUCACUGGUGUGGACACUUUAAAUGUCCUAAAUGCAGCCUGUUUUUAUAACUAAAAUUGACUAUAAGGUUCGCCUCAGCAUCGCCAGAGAAGUCCUGAGCUGCCUCAUCUUCCUGUAGAGAUGAAGCCCCUUCCCUGCUCCCAGCAGUUUAGGGGACAUGGGCAGGAAACCACGGUCGUGUUGGGAUACACGCCUGUCCCACCUGGGAUCUCUGCUCUGGGCCCACCAGCCUCUGCCCUUGUCCUGCCUGGGGCCGCUCGGCUUCCUGCCUUCCUCUCUCCACCUCAGCCUACUCCACUGCCCAGCCUUGCCUAUUCCUGUUGCUGUUGCCCAAAGCCUCCAGGUCUGGCGGGCCCUGCUGUCACAGGGUGAGCUUCUGGCCACUCUGUGGGACAGCCAGGCCUUCCUA
This is a long non-coding RNA of Sciurus carolinensis (gray squirrel), 1486 nucleotides long. RefSeq lists it as uncharacterized. The transcript has 3 exons. The record is from RefSeq and is a predicted model, not a curated record. NCBI's taxonomy places the organism in Eukaryota, Metazoa, Chordata, Mammalia, Rodentia, Sciuridae.